This is a long non-coding RNA of Mya arenaria, 386 nucleotides long. RefSeq lists it as uncharacterized. The transcript is spliced from 3 exons. NCBI's taxonomy places the organism in Eukaryota, Metazoa, Mollusca, Bivalvia, Myida, Myidae. The record is from RefSeq and is a predicted model, not a curated record.
GCGGUAGCUCGCUUGAUUAUCCGGCGGAGGUUUUAAGAUGGAAGAUAAGCGAACAUGAGCCUACGAUUGGCCCACUCAGGGAAGUCAUGAAAUUGUAAGCUCGUUGUUCCAAAAGACAAUGGAUGUGAUGGCAAUGGAAGCCGACUGUUCCUAUGGAACUCAUUGGAUGCUAUGGAUGAAGGUAGUUUCUAAGAAGACGGUUGCUAAAGAAGUCAUCGGUUGCUGGGGAAGUCAAUGGUGGCUAGAGAAGUGUGGUUAUGGGUAUGAACGUUGUCCGUUCACUCCAUGCUCCCUGCAGGCUGGGAAAACUCUGGGAUGGUUUCACCAUGGACCUGGUCGGACCAUGAACAGGGGAGGUAACUACUGGCUCUUUCACCUGGUUCAAG